This 474-nucleotide ribosomal RNA is filed under the name uncultured organism. RNAcentral describes it as "partial 16S ribosomal RNA". It matches the Rfam family "Bacterial small subunit ribosomal RNA", at positions 330 to 800 of the family's 1533-position model. The record is from RNAcentral.
CGUACACUCCUACGGGAGGCAGCAGUGAGGAAUAUUGGACAAUGGGUGGAAGCCUGAUCCAGCCAUCCCGCGUGCAGGAAGACGGCCCUAUGGGUUGUAAACUGCUUUUAUCUGGGGAUAAACCUACUUACGUGUAAGUAGCUGAAGGUACCAGAAGAAUAAGCACCGGCUAACUCCGUGCCAGCAGCCGCGGUAAUACGGAGGGUGCAAGCGUUAUCCGGAUUUAUUGGGUUUAAAGGGUCCGUAGGCGGACUGAUAAGUCAGUGGUGAAAUCCGACAGCUUAACUGUCGAACUGCCAUUGAUACUGUUAGUCUUGAGUAAGGUUGAAGUGGCUGGAAUAAGUAGUGUAGCGGUGAAAUGCAUAGAUAUUACUUAGAACACCAAUUGCGAAGGCAGGUCACUAAGUCUUAACUGACGCUGAUGGACGAAAGCGUGGGGAGCGAACAGGAUUAGAAACCCGUGUAGUCCCAUGA